GUGGCGCAGUGCUAAGCAUUUGGCUGCUAACCAAAAAGUUAGUGGUUCAAACCCACUC
This 58-nucleotide transfer RNA is filed under the name Loxodonta africana (African savanna elephant). It matches the Rfam family "tRNA". Rfam says of the family: Transfer RNA (tRNA) molecules are approximately 80 nucleotides in length. Their secondary structure includes four short double-helical elements and three loops (D, anti-codon, and T loops). Further hydrogen bonds mediate the characteristic L-shaped molecular structure. tRNAs have two regions of fundamental functional importance: the anti-codon, which is responsible for specific mRNA codon recognition, and the 3' end, to which the tRNAs corresponding amino acid is attached (by aminoacyl-tRNA synthetases). tRNAs cope with the degeneracy of the genetic code in two manners: having more than one tRNA (with a specific anti-codon) for a particular amino acid; and 'wobble' base-pairing, i.e. permitting non-standard base-pairing at the 3rd anti-codon position. Lineage: Eukaryota; Metazoa; Chordata; Mammalia; Proboscidea; Elephantidae. The record is from Rfam by way of RNAcentral.